AACCCAGGAAGGCGAGUGAAACAGUUCCUGAAACCGUGUGCCUACAAGUAGUUAGUGCCUGUUAAUGGGUGAUAGCGUGCUUUUUGUAGAAUGAACCGGCGAGUGACGAUUUGUUGCAAGGUUAAGCGGAAAAAGCGGAGCCGUAGCGAAAGCGAGUCUGAAUAGGGCGCAUAAGUAAAAGGUCGUAGACCCGAAACCAGGUGAUCUACCCAUGUCCAGGAUGAAGGUAAGGUAAUACUUAAUGGAGGUCCGAACCCACGCACGUCGAUAAGUACGGGGAUGAGGUGUAGGUAGAGGAGAAAUUGCAAUCGAACUUGGAGAUAGAUGGUUCUCUCCGAAAUAGCUUUAGGGCUAGCCUCGAGGUAAAGAGUCAUGGAGGU
This 380-nucleotide ribosomal RNA is filed under the name Listeria monocytogenes. RNAcentral describes it as "bacterial LSU rRNA". It matches the Rfam family "Bacterial large subunit ribosomal RNA", at positions 522 to 903 of the family's 2925-position model. Lineage: Bacteria; Bacillati; Bacillota; Bacilli; Caryophanales; Listeriaceae. The record is from RNAcentral.